RNAcentral lists this ribosomal RNA (440 nucleotides) under uncultured bacterium. Its description in RNAcentral is "partial 16S ribosomal RNA". It matches the Rfam family "Bacterial small subunit ribosomal RNA", at positions 338 to 795 of the family's 1533-position model. The record is from RNAcentral.
CCUACGGGAGGCAGCAGUAGGGAAUAUUGCGCAAUGGGGGAAACCCUGACGCAGCAACGCCGCGUGGAUGAAGAAGGUUUUCGGAUUGUAAACUUCUGUUGUUAGAGAAGAUAAUGGCGGUAUGUAACGAAUAAGCACCUGCCAAUUCCGUGCCAGCAGCCGCGGUAAUACGGCGGGCCCAAGCGUUACUCGGAAUCACUGGGCGUAAAGUGCGCGUAGGUGGGAUGGCAAGUCAGAUGUGAAAUCCUAUGGCUGAACCAGAGAAGUGCAUUGGAAACUGGGAUGCUAGAGUAUGGGAGAGGAAGGUGGAAUUCUAGGUGUAGCGGUGAAAUGCGUAGAUAUAAAGAGGAACACUCAUGGCGAAGGCGACCUGCUAGACUAUAACUGACGCUGAGGCGCGAAAGCGUGGGGAGCAAACAGGAUUAGAUACCCCAGUAGUC